This is a transfer RNA of Ovis aries (sheep), 72 nucleotides long. It matches the Rfam family "tRNA". Rfam says of the family: Transfer RNA (tRNA) molecules are approximately 80 nucleotides in length. Their secondary structure includes four short double-helical elements and three loops (D, anti-codon, and T loops). Lineage: Eukaryota; Metazoa; Chordata; Mammalia; Artiodactyla; Bovidae. The record is from Rfam.
UCCCUCAUAGCUCAGUAGGUCAAGAAUCUACCUGCAAAGCAGGAGACCCAGGUUCGAUUCCUGGGUCGGGAA